Molecule: ribosomal RNA, 428 nt
Filed under: uncultured prokaryote
Description: bacterial SSU rRNA
Rfam family: Bacterial small subunit ribosomal RNA
Source: RNAcentral
UAAGGAAUAUUGGGCAAUGGACGCAAGUCUGACCCAGCGACACCGCGUGUAUGAAGAAGGUCUUCGGAUUGUAAAGUACUGUUCCGUGUUAAGAAGAUUAUCCAGCCAAUAACUGAGGUAGUCGGACUAAGGCGCGGGAGGAAGAGAUUGCUAACUCUGUGCCAGCAGCAGCGGUAAUACAGAGAUCUCAACCGUUGUUCGGAAUCACUGGGCUUAAAGGGUGUGUAGGCGGCGCACUAAGUUGAUUGUGAAAUCCUCUGGCUUACCCAGAGAAGAGCAGUCAAAACUGGAGUGCUAGAGUAUGGUAGGGGGGAGUGGAACUUCUGGUGGAGCGGUUAAAUGCGUUGAUAUCAGAAGGAACGCCGGAGGCGAAAGCGACUCUCUGGGCCAUAACUGACGCUGAGGCACGAAAGCCAGGGGAGCAAACA